UACGAAGGGGGCUAGCGUUGCUCGGAAUCACUGGGCGUAAAGGGUGCGUAGGCGGGUCUUUAAGUCAGGGGUGAAAUCCUGGAGCUCAACUCCAGAACUGCCUUUGAUACUGAGGAUCUUGAGUCCGGAAGAGGUGAGUGGAACUGCGAGUGUAGAGGUGAAAUUCGUAGAUAUUCGCAAGAACACCAGUGGCGAAGGCGGCUCACUGGUCCGGUACUGACGCUGAGGCACGAAAGCGUGGGGAGCAAACAGG
Molecule: ribosomal RNA, 253 nt
Filed under: uncultured bacterium
Lineage: Bacteria
Description: partial 16S ribosomal RNA
Rfam family: Bacterial small subunit ribosomal RNA
Source: RNAcentral